UUGACGGGGGGGGUUGUAUCGUGAACCUAGCUUGUUUCCCCUCAGCCAUGCCAACGUUUAGGAGUGUGUAACUACUGUUGACGGCUUUCAACUGCUGUUAACAGCACAUGCGCUACCGCGCGUAUAUGUCCCGCGCAAAUUUAAUUUCAUUAAAAAAAAAAAAAAAUCUUUUUUUUUUUUUUUUUCUUCACCCUCGCGAUCGACUUGGGAUCUGUCAGCGAUCUACUGGUAGACCGCGAUCGACUGGUUGGGCACCCCUGGUAUAGAGACUCACAUAUAGUACAGCUUGGUAUGAGGUUAUCUUAUUUACAAUUGGCUUAAAGUUUGUCUAUUCAUAUACAGUCAGGUUGAAAGUGCAUUGUAAAACAUAUCAGUUCGUUUUUUCAGUACAUUAAAGUAUGGCAUAUUUUUAUUUGCUACCCAGAGACACUUUCACUAAUAUUAUACUUAAGCUUAUAGUGUGUUUGUUAAACACUAUAUAGCAUGCAUUAUAAAACCUUUAGGAAAAUUACCUGUACACCUUAUUGUAAUUAUUUUUGAUGUUUCUGAAAGAUUGAUCGAGAGCAGGACAGAAGAGUCCUCCCUGAGGAGUGGCCCCAGUGGAUCCCCAGAUUCCCACAGAAGAUUCAGACAGCGAGAGAGAGGAGCCUCCAACAACGAGUGGCGGCCCAAGGUACCUCCAGACAUUUCCAAAUCAAGAACCGAUAGAUCUUUAAGGACAGUCUUUGAAGUGUUCAGUUUUAAUGAGAUGUCACUGUUUGGAUUCUCUGUCUGAUAUGUGUAAAUGUGGCUCAAACUUGAAUCUAAUCUUGCAGAGUCCGCCUAAUACCCAUUGUGAAUAUGAU
Long non-coding RNA from Gadus chalcogrammus (walleye pollock), 845 nucleotides. RefSeq lists it as uncharacterized. The transcript is spliced from 3 exons. Lineage: Eukaryota; Metazoa; Chordata; Actinopteri; Gadiformes; Gadidae. The record is from RefSeq and is a predicted model, not a curated record.